RNAcentral lists this ribosomal RNA (510 nucleotides) under uncultured bacterium. Its description in RNAcentral is "partial 16S ribosomal RNA". It matches the Rfam family "Bacterial small subunit ribosomal RNA", at positions 29 to 523 of the family's 1533-position model. The record is from RNAcentral.
AACGAACGUUAGCGGCGCGCCUAACACAUGCAAGUCGAACGCGACAGGGGCAACUCUGUUGAGUGGCGCACGGGUGAGUAACACGUAGGUAAUCUCCCCCCGAGUGGUGGAUAACCUUCCGAAAGGAGGGCUAAUACAGCAUAAGACCACGGCUUCGAAAGGAGCUGAGGUCAAAGCGGAGGAUCGCAAGACUUCGCGCUUGGGGAUGAGCCUGCGGCCCAUCAGGUAGUUGGCGGGGUAACAGCCCACCAAGCCUAAGACGGGUAGCUGGUCGGGGAGGAUGAUCAGCCAACCUGGAACUGAGACACGGUCCAGACUCCUACGGGAGGCAGCAGUGGGGAAUCUUGCGCAAUGGACGAAAGUCUGACGCAGCGACGCCGCGUGGGUGAUGAAGGCCUUCGGGUUGUAAAGCCCUGUGGGGAGGGACGAAUAAGUUUCAGCUAAUACCUGAAGCGAUGACGGUACCUCCUUAGCAAGCACCGGCUAACUCUGUGCCAGCCGCCGCCGUAA